Molecule: ribosomal RNA, 468 nt
Filed under: uncultured bacterium
Lineage: Bacteria
Description: partial 16S ribosomal RNA
Rfam family: Bacterial small subunit ribosomal RNA
Source: RNAcentral
GACGAACGCUGGCGGCGUGCUUAACACAUGCAAGUCGAACGGAAAGGCCCUGCUUUUGUGGGGUGCUCGAGUGGCGAACGGGUGAGUAACACGUGAGUAACCUGCCCUUGACUUUGGGAUAACUUCAGGAAACUGGGGCUAAUACCGGAUAGGAGCUCCUGCUGCAUGGUGGGGGUUGGAAAGUUUCGGCGGUUGGGGAUGGACUCGGGGCUUAUCAGCUUGUUGGUGGGGUAGUGGCUUACCAAGGCUUUGACGGAUAGCCGGCCUGAGAGGGUGACCGGCCACAUUGGGACUGAGAGACGGCCCAGACUCCUACGGGAGGCAGCAGUGGGGAAUAUUGCACAAUGGGCGGAAGCCUGAUGCAGCAACGUCGCGUGCGGGAUGACGGCCUUCGGGUUGUAAACCGCUUUCGCCUGUGACGAAGCGUGAGUGACGGUAAUGGGUAAAGAAGCACCGGCUAACUACGUG